CAUUCAUUCUCCAUGAAAAGAAUACAUCACAUGGAUGUAAUUUUUGUAAGAAAAAUACCAAUUUCGUGAGAAGUUGUGUGUUGGACUUGAAGAGCCAAGGCAAACUGACAAAUAUCUGAAUGAACGAAUCGAUUUAUGGUAUAUAAAAAAAAAAAAACAAAGCCCACAUGGUUAGCAUUGAAUAAAUAGAAGGCCACUCUUAAAUGAUCACAACGUAGAAGUUUUUGUUCUCUUAAUCAAUAAGAUAUUUUCUGAAAUAACGCGGGUCCCCAUUAACUUAAAAGUUUUUUUGGUUUUUUUACCAUGAAUAAACUUUUUUUUUAUAUUAUUAUUUAUUGAUAUCAGCUCUGGACAUUAAUAUUCUUAAAAGUGAAACUGUUGUAAGUGAUGGUAUAACAAUUAUUUAAAAUAAAUUCCUUAAAUGAUUUGUGAAAAGAAAGUUUCAUUUUAUGUAUCAAAAUGUGUAACAAAUGAUUAUUUAAAUCCCCACUUGAAGGCCUCCGAUAGACUGAGUGAGCAUAAAAUCAUCGCCCACGACAAACAAGUUAUAGGUAAACUUUUUAGUACAAUUACUAAUAAACGUUUUACCGUCGACCACACUGUUAUGAAUUUCAUUCUAUAUAGUAUCCUUAAUACAGCUUAACUAUUUAAGUUUAAAAUUACUCUUCUGAUUGCUCUGUUAUUGACGUUGGUGUAUGACAUUUCAAUAAAAGCAUUCGAAAUAAGUUUGAAAGGAGUCAUUUGUAUAAAUAAACUCAUCAUAG
Molecule: long non-coding RNA, 764 nt
Filed under: Mytilus galloprovincialis (Mediterranean mussel)
Lineage: Eukaryota; Metazoa; Mollusca; Bivalvia; Mytilida; Mytilidae
Source: RNAcentral